GAUAAACCAUCUAUUAUAUGCAUAUGCACAGCUUGGACUGCCGUAGUAGACGGGUGGUUGCCAGUACAAAGGUGGAGUAGGAAUCUGGUGAAUCGGUUGUGGAAAGGGUAGGUAAUUAUUGGGAAAAGGUUGAGGGUAAAAUGAUUGGGAAAAGGUUGAGGGUAAAAAUGAUUGGGAGAAGGUUGAGGGUAAAACGUAGGCAUGCUAGGAUAUGGAGGAAUAGGGGAAC
Molecule: non-coding RNA, 229 nt
Organism: Paramuricea clavata
Lineage: Eukaryota; Metazoa; Cnidaria; Anthozoa; Malacalcyonacea; Plexauridae
Source: the annotation of a GenBank genome assembly